This is a long non-coding RNA of Salvia miltiorrhiza (redroot sage), 619 nucleotides long. RefSeq lists it as uncharacterized. Lineage: Eukaryota; Viridiplantae; Streptophyta; Magnoliopsida; Lamiales; Lamiaceae. The record is from RefSeq and is a predicted model, not a curated record. The transcript is spliced from 2 exons.
AUGAGCACUGCUUUUCCAGAUCAGAAAAUUUUGUUAUUUUUUUUUUCCUUUUACUCUCUCCUAUGCCUUCCCACGCAAUUAAUCUGUAUCUAUUUUCUGUUCUCUUGAAAUAUUUAGCACUAGAAAACUCUCUCUUUCUCUUAUUUCUCUCUCAAUGCACGCGUCUUCUCCAUCACCUCCCCAGGAUUUGAAGAGAAAAACAAGUCUUGAAUUAGAAGAUACAAAUAUAAUGUUCUGCUCAGAAAUGUAGGAUCCAGAGGGAACAUGCCUAAAACUAAUAUGAGCUCGAUAUGAAAUAGUUGGAUUGACAUUUCCAAAGAAAUAUUCAUGGAGUCGAUAAUUCUGAUAUCUAUUUUGACAAAUAAAAUAUAUGCUCUUGUUGAAGCCCUGCCAAGCUAUGGUCUCGAGUGCAAUGAACAGGGGAGACUACCGAUGAAAGUGUGUAGCAAGAAACGAAGAUAUAAAGAGAAGGAAAAAAGUCCAAACUUUCAAGAUAAAUUGCCUGCAUCGUUUGUAUUUCAUAAUUGUAGAUUUUUUUUUACACAUUCAGUUUUAGUUUUCAUUACAUUCUUGUGAAUUUGGUGAAACGUGUGUAGUUAUACAACUCCAGAUUGGGGCU